GGGGAUAGCUCAGUGGUAGAGUGUAUGCCUAACACAAGGUCCUGGGUUCAAUCCCCAGUACCUCCU
Molecule: transfer RNA, 66 nt
Filed under: Camelus bactrianus (Bactrian camel)
Lineage: Eukaryota; Metazoa; Chordata; Mammalia; Artiodactyla; Camelidae
Also listed under: 2 other names
Rfam family: tRNA
About the family: Transfer RNA (tRNA) molecules are approximately 80 nucleotides in length. Their secondary structure includes four short double-helical elements and three loops (D, anti-codon, and T loops).
Source: Rfam by way of RNAcentral